UGAAGCUUUGUGUGAUCAGUCACUUAGUUAUUAUCGACUGAGAGGAACAAAAGAGGAGAAGUGAGAGCGACUGAAACUUCUUUCUCAUCUUCAUUUCCGAAGCUGCGCGAAAGAGUGAGAGUGAAGGAGCAAUUCUGGUGCCUUCCAGCCGCAACCGAGUGAGUGUUAAGAGGAGGAAGUCUGGAGUGAUCACCGAGGGAAGGAAUGAGAACCGACAGCAGGCUUCACCAUUUAUUCAACCUUUUAUCAUCCUAAACCGAGAGCUAAGUGAGUGGAAGAGGAGAAACCAGCUUGCAACUUCAAAUAUUAGCUGCAACUGUGAGGAAAAUAGUUGGAGCAAGAGCUAGAGGAACCGAAACAGAGUGUGAAGCCUUCUUACUUUCCCAACCUCAAAACCGUGGAAAAAGGUGUGAGUGAGGGAGAGAAAACUUGUUAGAUUCAUUACUUAUUAGCUUCAAUCGAGUGAGAAUGAAGUAAAUAGAAGGAAAAGAGGAUCGGUGCUGUUUGAAGGAGCCGAGGCGGAAAAGCUAGUGCAUUCUGCAAUUUCAGAUUCUUGAAUGAAAAAAAAAGAGGUAAAACUCUGUAAUAAACUCUUACUCAACUAAUAUGUACGAUACUUAAGCUGCAUGUUAAAAUUUAGUAAGGAAAAUGAGUUCUUAACCAAGGAAAUUUCUGCAUAGAAGAUGAAUAAGUUAUUGGACAGAGAUUGAAAGAAACCUGCUGGAAUUUUAGCUUCAUCCGAGUAGGGGAAAUGAAGAAGUUCCAGCUGUCCUUAUGGAUUUUGGUCUUGAAAUUUUAUAUUAAGCUGUAAUAUAUUGUAUAAUACAUUGGUCUUAACAUGCAUGCAAGAUUUAAGUCUAAAAUGAGGAGUUUACUGGGGAAUUUUCUUGUCUUAAUGGCUGAUUGCUGCUAGAACUCAUCCAACAUGGCCGAGAGAGGAAGUAGAGUUUGGUUCAGUUUUUCUCUUCAAAUUCUUGGCAGUAAACUUCAUAUUGCUGCUUAAAAACUCUAUAGUUUGAUAAUUACUCUCUGCAUGUUAAGUUGGGGGUGAGGAAAAGGAAGAAAGUGAGGGAAACAGUCUUGUACUUAACUGCCGAACUGCUGGAAGUUGCAUUUAGCUGAGGACAGAAUUAAUUGUUGCUUUCGUUGGGAUUAUUUUCUCAAAUUACAUGUUAUUUGUUUUAGUUUAGGUAGGACAGAGUGUAUACGGAGUGUUGAGUGUUUUAACCAAGUAAAAGAUGGAACUUCGUUGAAAACUUUGAGGUAAUGUUGCUGGAAAUCUGUUUGUCGGCCGAGAGAGGGAGGAGAUGAAGCUCCUAUGACAUUUCGAAAAAUUCCAGGAUGAUUGGUUGUAAUCUUGUAUAAAACAUCUUAUAACAUCUUGACCCUAUCAUUCACGUUCAUUUUAGUGAAUUUGAGACCUGAAAAGCAGAUGAAAUCUGAGAGAACUUAAACAACAAAGUUGAUUGGAAAUUGAUUUGGCCGAGAGAGAAAAAGUGAAAAGUUUUUCCAGUUCUACUCUUUAAGUUGGUUUGAAAAUUGAAAAUGAUUUAAUCUCAGUCUAAAUAUUUCACAAGACUUUGAAUUUGGUGUAUUUGUAUAUAUUCAUCAUUCUUAGUAAUAAACUUAACAAAUCUUGACGAGAAAUGUGAGAAAGAUUGUUGGAAUUUCGUAUCUUGUUUAAUAAGCUAAGAAACAUGGUUUCUAAUAAUCUAAACUUUAAAUGUGGUGAGUGAUUGGUGGCCGGAAAUCAAGUUAAAUGGUUGAAUUGGUAAUGAGAUGAAGACUUAUAUACUGUUUUAGAAACUCUAAGGUAAUUUGUUAUGGCUAUAUACACGAAAUGGCUCCUAAUCACUUAAAUUAGUCUUUAUAAUAUUUAAGAGACUAUAAAACUUGAGAAGUUAAGGUUGUGAAACAAAAUUUAAUUCACAAAUAACCUAGAGCUUAGUUAGUCUUAAAAGGGAAGAUGGAGUGUCUAUAAGCCAUAAUUAAUACUGGAUUGAGAAAGUAUAUUAGUUUAAACAUUUUACAAGUUUAUAAACUUGAAAUGUAUGUAUAUUUCUUUGGUUUCUGUUGAGAUUUGGUGCUUAAAUCAUGUUAAAAUUGAUGGUAUGAAUGUCAUACUUAAAUGUAUGAAUGGUUUGAAUAAAAGUCUUGUGGUGUUAAAAGAGAAAAAGGAGUUUUUCACAAGUGAAAAAUGAGUUUCCAGAUUUUCGGAUUUCAAUGACCAGUCUCAAUAAAAUGCUUAUAUCUGGGUGUAGGAAAAUCCGUUUGAGGUGCUGUUAGUGGCAUUUGAAACUAGAAUCAUGGACCUUUGUUUUGUAAAAAUUUCAUAUUUUCCUCCAUGUGUACUGCUGUCCGUGACUCCUCAAAGUAGGCUGUCCUGCUUGAAUGUCCUGUUUCUUCAAGAAAAGGAAAUUUUGACUUGGAUCGGAUAUUUGGCAUAUUUGUGAUUUGAAUCUCUGAAAAGUGUCUUCUGGGAUGUGAUAGUACUAAAAAUCUAUUUUACAACAGUAUAACUUUCAUAAUUGUUUGAUUUGUGGAACUUGAGUUGCGAAUUUUUAAAGUUUACUGUCACUAUUCAUCUCCGUAGAUUCCUGAAACAUAGAAAUUGGCUUCUUGACUUUAAAACCUCAGACGGCCUACUUCCAACCUCUCACCUUGAUUUUUUUUCCACUUCCUUGACAUCAAAUAUAUCCCUAUUGAACUUCUCUCGCUAAUGUAUCUCUCAUUUCCUCAAAGUUUUACUCUUUUAACAAAUUACCUUAAUUAAAGCGGUCAAGACUUGUACUUAGCUUUUAGCCACCAUUUCCGAAAUUCUAGAGUUAUUUGUGAGUUAAACGGGCCGUGACUUUCUUUUAUAUUUUGGGUUAAAUUUCUGGUUGUUUUGUGUAAGGAAUGAUUGUUUGUCGUCAAGAGCUAAUGAUUGAUGAAACUCUUGGUCAUUUGAGUAAUUUUUGCAAGAGUUAAAUUCUUGGUGGAAUGUUUAAGUUGUUUGGCCGAAAUGUACUUGGAAGGCCAUGACCUGUGAUUUGGAAUUGUUUUGAUAUCUUGGACUUCCUUUGUUUAAUUUGGAAUAGAAUCGAACCUGUUGAAACCUAGGGUUAAUGAUUGAUGAAGCCUAGUGAAAUUGAUGUUUGAGUUGUGAUUUUGCUAUAUUGGCAAGUUGGAAUAUAAUGUGCAAAUGAUUCGGAGUCGUGAAGUCCGUUUUGAUCCUUUGAAUUGAGUACUUUUUAACCAAACUUUGUUGAAAUAUUUUGUUCCAGUACUAAGCUAUAGAAAUUGAGUAUAGUACAAUAAUGCUAAAAUUCGAGUAUCGGGACUUGUAAAAUCCUACCAGCUAGUUAAUUCCUUUCUUUGCUUAAACUAGCCUUAUUAUUUUUGGGAAAUAAUUGCACUAACUUCCAAACUCUAAAUUUUUCAUAAAAUUGUCCCUGGCUAGUUGUUUUAGAGAAAACUUGUCAAAAACACGAGAUUUUAAUAACUUUAACUAAAAAGCGUGGGAAAACUUGUUCGGCAAGAAACCCUACGAAAUAUUUUAACACUUUUACUAGUUUUGAUUUUUAAGCAAAUUGUUGAUUCAGUUUCGAAAGGAUAAACUAGUUAUAUACACAGACAACUUUUCCUACGUAACCCUAGAACUGGUAUAGCCAACUUAUAGUUUUUAAAAUUUGAUAUUUUAGGGUUUAGCGAGGACGCGAAUUUCGAUUCUCAACUUGACCUCUGAACUUCACUCUUGGUGAGUGUCCCUGCCUGUUUUAUGACUAUUUGGUUAAAGUGCUUUAUCGACUCGUUAUGUGAUAAUUGCCAAAAAUGAAUGCUGAUCCAUCGAAGUGAGCAGUGUGUACUUUAUCACACUAGCCUUUCGAGUGGUGACUUGCUUGAAGUGUUUUCCGUGAAUAUCUUGCUUGCGCUUGCUAAGUGCUAAAUUACUAGGCAGGGGAAUGUACCACACCUUAAGGGUGGGAAGGCCUCUUAUCCUGACCUGGUAAUCAAGUGUUGGACGUAAAGUCGUUUGGUGAAUCCCUCGACCAGUCUAUAAAUGUUGGACGUAAAGUCGUUGGGUGAAUCCCUCGACCAGUCUACAAAUGUUGGACGUAAAGUCAUUGGGUGAAUCCCUCAACCAGUCUAUAAGUGUUGGACGUAACGUCGUUGGGUGAAUCCCUCGACCAGUCUAAGGUAUACUCGAGUAUUAUCGCUUCCCUAUUUGUUUACUUCAGUCGAAUCAAUACGUGUUAAUUGUUUUAAUUGAUUGCAUGUUUUUGGGGCACCACUGAACUUUAGCUCACCCCACGUUAUUUUGUUUUCCUUGACAGGUUCUGGCAUGUGAGAAAGACCUGAAAUCUACUUUACUUGUUAUGAAUGUAAUUCGAAUUAAACAGUGUAGUUUUGUUUUGGGUUGCCACUUGAAGCUGGAGAAGUGCAAACCCUGAUUUUGUUACUUGGCUUGUAAGAAUGUAUGUGGCUUGUAUGACUUUGUUAAAUGGGAAUGUUUGACUUUAUUCCGUGGUUUGUAAUGCGUAAGGUAUUUAAGAA
RNAcentral lists this long non-coding RNA (4536 nucleotides) under Coffea arabica (coffee). RNAcentral describes it as "long non-coding RNA (CARA_LNC000160)". Lineage: Eukaryota; Viridiplantae; Streptophyta; Magnoliopsida; Gentianales; Rubiaceae. The record is from RNAcentral.